AGUGAACGCUGGCGGUAGGCCUAACACAUGCAAGUCGAACGGCAGCACAGUAAGAGCUUGCUCUUACGGGUGGCGAGUGGCGGACGGGUGAGGAAUACAUCGGAAUCUACUUUUUCGUGGGGGAUAACGUAGGGAAACUUACGCUAAUACCGCAUACGACCUACGGGUGAAAGCAGUGGAUCUUCGGACCUUGCGCGAUUGAAUGAGCCGAUGUCGGAUUAGCAAGUUGGCGGGGUAAAGGCCCACCAAGGCGACGAUCCGUAGCUGGUCUGAGAGGAUGAUCAGCCACACUGGAACUGAGACACGGUCCAGACUCCUACGGGAGGCAGCAGUGGGGAAUAUUGGACAAUGGGCGAAAGCCUGAUCCAGCCAUACCGCGUGGGUGAAGAAGGCCUUCGGGUUGUAAAGCCCUUUUGUUGGGAAAGAAAAGCAGCAGGUUAAUACCCCGCUGUUCUGACGGUACCCAAAGAAUAAGCACCGGCUAACUUCGUG
Molecule: ribosomal RNA, 492 nt
Filed under: uncultured bacterium
Lineage: Bacteria
Description: partial 16S ribosomal RNA
Rfam family: Bacterial small subunit ribosomal RNA
Source: RNAcentral